RNAcentral lists this ribosomal RNA (103 nucleotides) under uncultured eukaryote. Its description in RNAcentral is "partial small subunit ribosomal RNA". The record is from RNAcentral.
UCGCUUCAACCGAUUGGAUGAUCCGGCAAAUUCUACGGACUUAUCGGUUGCUUCGGCGUACCGAAUUGGAAGUAGCGUGAGCCUUAUCAUCUAGAGGAUGAAG